AAUAGCCUAACGGCUGAACCAGCAACUUGGAGGAAGGUUGUACUUUAGUACUUGUGGUUUAUCCACAUAAACUUCUAGAUAGAAUACAGAUAAAUGACUAUUUUCUAUCUAUAUGUCUUGACUAACACACGUGCCAGCAGUCGCGGUAAGACGGGAAAGACUGGUGUUAGUCAUCUUUAUUAGGUUUAAAGGGUACCUAGACGGUGUUUAUUACUCCUUCAUGGAAGUACAUUAAUAACUAGAGUUUUACGAGAGAGGCUAUAUUUAGAAUUAACAGAGGAGAGAUAAAAUUCUUUGAUACUGUUAGGUACUUAUAACGGCGAAAGCAUUCCUCUAUAUCAAAACUGACGUUGAGGGACGAAGGCUUGGGUAGCGAACAGGAUUAGAUACCCUAAUAGUCCAAGCAGAAAAUUAUGAGUGUAAUAGGUUAGUUAAAAUUUACUCGCUUUAGUCCAUAAAAGUGAAGUCUGAUCUAUAAAUAAAAGUGUAAGCACUCCACCUCAAGAGUAACGCGGCAACGCUGGAACUGAAAUCAUUAGACCGUGUCUGAAACCAGUAGUGAAGUAUGUUAUUUAAUUCGAUGAUCCUCGAAAAACCUUACCACAAUUUGAAUAAUAUUUAGUUAUUACAAGUGUUGCACGGCUGUCUUCAGUUAAUGUCGUGAGAUUAAGGUUAGCUCCAUAAAUUAACGUAAACCCUUGCUUUAUUUUAUAUAUACAGCAGUUCUCUAUUAUAUUAGAUAAUAUAAAAGGGACCAAGACAAGUCAUCAUGACCUUAAUAUUGUGGGCUAUAGACGUGCCACAUAUACCUAGACAAUGGGAUGCCAAUAUGUAAAUAUUUAGCUAACCCCUAAAAUAGGCUAUAUUGA
This 869-nucleotide ribosomal RNA is filed under the name Bactrospora dryina. RNAcentral's name for it is "SSU rRNA". It matches the Rfam family "Bacterial small subunit ribosomal RNA", at positions 370 to 1294 of the family's 1533-position model. The record is from RNAcentral. Lineage: Eukaryota; Fungi; Ascomycota; Arthoniomycetes; Arthoniales.